GAUGAAGAACGUACCGAAAUGCGAUAAGUAAUGUGAAUUGCAGAAUUCAGUGAAUCAUCGAAUCUUUGAACGCACAUUGCGCCCGCCAGUAUUCUGGCGGGCAUGCCUGUUCGAGCGUCAUUUCAACCAUCAAGCCCCAGGCUUGUGUUGGGGACCUGCGGCUGCCGCAGGCCCUGAAAACCAGUGGCGGGCUCGCUGUCACACCGGGCGUAGUAGAUUUUAUCUCGCUCAGGGCGUGCUGCGGGUUCCGGCCGUUAAAAAGCCUUUUUUACCCAAGGUUGACCUCGGAUCAGGUAGGAAGACCCGCUGAACUUAAGCAUAUCAAUAAGCGGAGGA
This 336-nucleotide unclassified non-coding RNA is filed under the name soil metagenome. RNAcentral describes it as "partial contains 5.8S ribosomal RNA, internal transcribed spacer 2, and large subunit ribosomal RNA". The stretch from base 1 to 120 matches the Rfam family "5.8S ribosomal RNA", at positions 35 to 154 of the family's 154-position model. The record is from RNAcentral.